UGUGUGUGUGUGUGUGUGUGUGUGUGUGUGUGUGUGUGUGUGUGUGUGAUUGUUGCAUCAGCCACUGACUGCAAGGUGUUUGUGUAGAGGUGCUUUUAAGAGGAGUACUAUUUAUUGAGAAGUAGUCAGCCUUUUCCCCCACCUGCCCUUCAGUGUCCCUGUCGAUUGGCCCCACAUUGGUAAUGCCUGGCUGACCACAGCACCCUUUAAAGGGGCCAAAGGUUAGGCAAAACAGUGUCUGGUGUCAUGGCAACCUGGCUGCCACCAACCAGUCUCACUGAAAGAGAGUUAUCAGGGUAGGUCAAUCAAACAAGGUUCAAAACCACUUGCAGGGUUUCAAAUGGGCAGAAAAACAUACAUGCCCUGUUCAAAUGAUCUCAGUAAGCAGAAACCCACAAACAAUUUAGUACUAUACUGAAAUCUCUGUCAGAACCCAAACUCCCAGAAGUCUGCCCUUCAACAUGACACCUCCAUAUUGGACUCCAAACAGCUUACUGUACCAAACUACUAACCACAUCAUAUGUUCAAGCACAUCAUACAUUCAUCAGAUCAUAAUCACCAGACUUGGUGCUGGUUCAAAUCAGGAACUAUACUCUAAAUAUUAAGCACUUUAAACCAUGACAGCAUAAGAGUAUCAAGCGCGGUCAUGUACUGUCAGAUUUCCAAGAAAAAACCAAAUAGCCUUGUACAGCCUUCACUUCCCUGUAUACUGUACAUUAUGUUCUAUAUAUAAUCAUAGCCAUUGCUACGUAAUUUUAAUAAAGCUGCAGGCUUUAAAAGCAUACCUUGUUCCAUUGCCCAUAAUUACUAUAUAUUAUAAAUAUUUAAUAAUAUCAUUCAGAAAAGUCUCUAUGGAAUUCUGCUUAGACAGAAUUAAAUAUUUCCUUUUUAAAUUGUUUAAAAAGUUUAAAAAGUGUUGUCUGGAAUAAAUGAUAUAUAUACUCUCUGUCCAGGGUGUAUCCUGCCUUGAUGCCCGAUAACGCCUGAGCCAGGCACAGGCUCCCGUGACCCGAGGUAGUUCGGAUAAGUGGUAGAAAAUGAAUGAAUAUAUACAUAUACAUAGUGCACUGCAGUGAAAUGUAUGGUAUUGUAUUACAGUACUGUAAGAAUAUAGAAUACAAAUAAAGAAGAAGACACAAAUAUAUAGAUUAACUUAGUGGUUUUGUGGUUAGUUCAACAGACCUAAAGCUUGAAUUUUUAAGGAAAUGCAAAAGCUUCCUUUAGUAAGACAGUAAACCAAACAUGCAUAUAAAAUACCACACAACAGAAACAUUAUCAAGAGAAUUUUUCAUAACACAACAAAGUUGAAGCCAUUGCAUGUAGAUACAAUACCACUGUUUGGGUCUGUAGGGUUUUAUGAUUACUGUAGCAUACUGUAACACAGCAUAGCACAGUAAUUUCUUCAGGCAUAACAAGGUAGUAUGCAGAUGUUGUGUAGUAUGUAGAAGUAUAGUAGCUUGCAGUAUAUUGAAAUAUAGAAGCAUUAAAUGCAAUUUCAGUGAUUGCUCAACAUGGGCAAUGUGGUGGCCUGGGGAAACAGAAGACAUACAAAUGGAGAAAAGGAUGGAAGGAGCUGGAAGAAAACACCACCGAUUCCUUUGGAAUUUUCACUUCAAAAAACACCAUAAAAUUAUUAUGAUUACACACUGUUUAUUUCAAAUCCUAACUACAAACAUGCAGUGUGGUUAGACAUGACAUUUUGAAGACACAGAAACAUGGAUACUGGAGGAUCAUGAUAGGAGUAAGGGAGGAGGUGGAAUACAAUGAACAUACUGCACACACACAAAAAAUGUACUAAAAUGAAGCACCAGUG
This is a long non-coding RNA of Tachysurus fulvidraco (yellow catfish), 1813 nucleotides long. RefSeq lists it as uncharacterized. Lineage: Eukaryota; Metazoa; Chordata; Actinopteri; Siluriformes; Bagridae. The record is from RefSeq and is a predicted model, not a curated record. The transcript is spliced from 3 exons.